CAAACAAUAGUAUCGUAUUUGGAGAGGCUACCGUAGAGAGCGCUAACAACAUAAAAGCUGUUGUGAUGGAUUAUGAUGGAUGUCGAGCCAAUUAGUGAAUUUUGACAAAUUUAUUUAUUUCAACAAUGUACUCAAUGAAGCAAAGGAACAAAUUGGAAAUGUUUUAGGAAUGCAGAUUUCAAUCAACCCAGAGAAUUACCUUGGGCUGCCAAAGAUGGUUGGGCGACAAAAACGAAGAGGUUUUUGCAAAUUUUAGAGACAGGUUCAUUUACAAUAUUGAGAAUUGGAACGCUCGACAAUUAUCAUUGGGAGGAAAUGAGGUCUUCAUUAAAUCAAUAUUACAAGCUAUACCCAUUUAUGCUAUGUAAUGCUUCCUUUUACCUAUUACAUUAUGUCGUGAUCUUGAAAGUAUAAUAAGUAGAUAUUGGUAGCGUAAUUAUAAAUCGAAAAAAGGUAUACAAUGGUGUCAAUGGAGGUUGUUGUGCGAGGCCAAACCGCAUGGAGAAUUAGGAUUCAGGGAUUUAGCAAAAUUUAAUGUAGCCCUUCUAACGAAACAGGGUUGGCGAUUGUUAUCAAAUCCAAAUUGCUUAUUUGCGCGAGUUAUGGAAGCCAAAUACCAUCCAAAUGGCGAUUUACGAGCUCAAGAUUAAGUUCUUACCCUUCCUAUACCUGGCGUAAUAUAUGGAGUGCUGGUGGAUUAUUGGAACAAGGAAUCGGUUGGAGAGUGGGCAGUGGGCAGUGGAACGGCGAUUAAUAUUUGGAACGUUUCUUGGCUUUCGAGACCUGGACGAGGAAGAGUGUCGGUUCAGAAUAUUGAUAUAAACUACACAAUCGUUGCCGAUCUAAUAAAUCAAGAUACUGCUACCUGGAAAACAAAAGACUUAAGAACAUUAUUUGACUAAGAACAAGCAAGGCGAAUCGUGACUAUUCCGCUGCCUAGCAUUGACCAAACAAAUGAAAUUGUAUGGCGAGAAGAUAACACAGGAGUCUAUUCGGUUAAAAGUAGUUACAAGAGGCUCCUAACAGGUGAAUCAGACAUUUUGGGUGAGGAAUCAAUGAGUUCAGAUCAGACAUUACAUACCUUUUACAAAAGAUUAUAGGCUCUAAACAUUGCAAGUAAAAUAAAGAUUACAGGCUGGAAAAUUGUUUCGGUGAGUAAUUGUCCUGUUUGUCGGGCUGCGUGGAGUAGUGGCCCAUGUGUUCUAUGACUGUCCAUUCAGUCGACAAGUCCUGUAGGGGGUGGAAAUAGAUUUCUCCCCAAAUAACGAAGAGCAUAGUUGGAAAAUAUGGUUAGCAAUCGAAUUUGUUAAUAACAAUCCAAUAAAAAACAGAUGGAUGGCUAUUACUUUUGGGGCCAUUUGGUACAACAGAAACAAAAGCUAUCAGGACGGAGCAGGUUAAAAUAUCUAUGGACUAAUAACGUUGUUCAAGGCAUAUUAAAAAAGCUAAGCCAACAGUGGAAGACAAAUCUUAUAUAUGCGGCUCAAUCAAAGAAAUAAAGGUGAGAGCCCGACGAUUUCAAUAUAGUAGUUUCGGAUUCAUGCCUGGAACCGCAAAUAGCGCAAACCAUGUUCUAGCAGAGGAAGGGAGGCGCUAUGUCUCCUUUGUGUACGGGAUAGAAGAGCCGGUGAGGGUGGAUGAAGAGGCAUGCCAAGAUUGAAGCGGGUUGCAGAGAAAGGAAUAAAGGGUGGAUUUUUUAGCCGGAGGAUAAGCCAUUUAGGGACUCCGGCGACCACAGUAUUAAAUGGGCAGUCUCGCACCUACACAGACCAUAUACCUAUCACCGGAUGAUGGAGGAAAGGAACCAGUUUUGCUGCAGUUUUACUUUUCGUUUUGCUUAGAAGGAUAAGGCACCGUUUAAGGAGCCAAUAGGGGUGCAGCAGCCGAAUAGUAUUGCACUUAUGAUUUCCCUUAGAUUAAUUAAGGGUGAGUUUGGAUAGGCGGUGUAUUUACUUACGAUUAAUAUAAAAAUAAUAGUAGCGGUGAGAUUAAAUAUUGUAACGAUAUUAUAGCGUGAGACAAAAAAAUAAACUAAACUCACUGCACCACCUAAUUGUUUAUUAAAUACAUUCUAAAUUUAGUAUUGUGUAUAAAUAAAUAAUAUCAUUUUUUAUUGUGUUUUUUUUUCAUUAAAUAAGGUCAUCAGUAUUCUGUUA
Molecule: long non-coding RNA, 2156 nt
Filed under: Gossypium barbadense (sea-island cotton)
Lineage: Eukaryota; Viridiplantae; Streptophyta; Magnoliopsida; Malvales; Malvaceae
Description: long non-coding RNA (GBAR_LNC018782)
Source: RNAcentral